This 298-nucleotide ribosomal RNA is filed under the name uncultured Bacillus sp. RNAcentral describes it as "partial 16S ribosomal RNA". It matches the Rfam family "Bacterial small subunit ribosomal RNA", at positions 520 to 817 of the family's 1533-position model. The record is from RNAcentral. Lineage: Bacteria; Bacillati; Bacillota; Bacilli; Caryophanales; Bacillaceae.
GUAAUACGUAGGUGGCAAGCGUUAUCCGGAAUUAUUGGGCGUAAAGCGCGCGCAGGUGGUUUCUUAAGUCUGAUGUGAAAGCCCACGGCUCAACCGUGGAGGGUCAUUGGAAACUGGGAGACUUGAGUGCAGAAGAGGAAAGUGGAAUUCCAUGUGUAGCGGUGAAAUGCGUAGAGAUAUGGAGGAACACCAGUGGCGAAGGCGACUUUCUGGUCUGUAACUGACACUGAGGCGCGAAAGCGUGGGGAGCAAACAGGAUUAGAUACCCUGGUAGUCCACGCCGUAAACGAUGAGUGCU